UACGGGGGGGGCAAGCGUUGUUCGGAAUUACUGGGCGUAAAGGGCGCGUAGGCGGCUUUUCAAGUCAGGGGUGAAAUCCGGCAGCUCAACUGUCGAAGUGCCCUUGAUACUGAUGAGCUCGAGGGAGGUAGGGGUGUGUGGAACUUCCGGUGGAGCGGUGAAAUGCGUUGAUAUCGGAAGGAACGCCGGUGGCGAAAGCGACGCACUGGACCUCUUCUGACGCUGAGGCGCGAAAGCUAGGGGAGCAAACGGG
RNAcentral lists this ribosomal RNA (253 nucleotides) under uncultured bacterium. RNAcentral describes it as "partial 16S ribosomal RNA". It matches the Rfam family "Bacterial small subunit ribosomal RNA", at positions 524 to 776 of the family's 1533-position model. The record is from RNAcentral.